This 560-nucleotide ribosomal RNA is filed under the name Hyalorhinocladiella minuta-bicolor. RNAcentral describes it as "eukaryotic LSU rRNA". It matches the Rfam family "Eukaryotic large subunit ribosomal RNA", at positions 35 to 599 of the family's 3401-position model. The record is from RNAcentral. Lineage: Eukaryota; Fungi; Ascomycota; Sordariomycetes; Ophiostomatales; Ophiostomataceae.
UAAGCAUAUCAAUAAGCGGAGGAAAAGAAACCAACAGGGAUUGCCUCAGUAACGGCGAGUGAAGCGGCAACAGCUCAAAUUUGAAAUCUGGCCCCCCUCGGGGGCCCGAGUUGUAAUUUGGAGAGGAUGUUUCUGGCGCGGCGCCUACCGGAGUUCCUUGGAACAGGACGCCACAGAGGGUGAGAGCCCCGUACGGUGGGACGCCUAGCCGCAACGAAACUCCUUCGACGAGUCGAGUAGUUUGGGAAUGCUGCUCAAAAUGGGAGGUAAAUUUCUUCUAAAGCUAAAUACCGGCCAGAGACCGAUAGCGCACAAGUAGAGUGAUCGAAAGAUGAAAAGCACCUUGAAAAGAGGGUUAAACAGUACGUGAAAUUGUUGAAAGGGAAGCGCCUGCGACCAGACUCGCGCCCCGCGGACCAGCCGGCGUUCUCGCCGGUGCACUCCGCGGGGUGCGGGCCAGCAUCGGUUUUCCCUGGGGGAGAAAGGCCGCGGGAACGUAGCUCCCUCGGGAGUGUUAUAGCCCGUGGCGUCAUGCCCCAGGGGGGACCGAGGACCGCGCU